Molecule: unclassified non-coding RNA, 381 nt
Filed under: soil metagenome
Description: partial contains 5.8S ribosomal RNA, internal transcribed spacer 2, and large subunit ribosomal RNA
Rfam family: 5.8S ribosomal RNA (bases 1-120)
Source: RNAcentral
GAUGAAGAACGUAGCGAAAUGCGAUAAGUAAUGUGAAUUGCAGAUUUCAGUGAAUCAUCGAAUCUUUGAACGCACCUUGCACCCUUUGGCAUUCUGAAGGGUAUGCUCGUUUGAGUGUCAUUGUACUCUCACACUCCCGAUCUUUGCAUUGGGAGCAGUGGACUUGGGUUUGCUGCUUCACCGUCGCUUACCUCAAAUAGGUUAGUGCAACUCUUGGUUGGACAUAGUACGGCGUGAUAAGUGUUCUUCGCCGGUGCCUCGCAAAGAGGGUGGCCGAUCGGGAUGUUUGUGCUCCAAACCGUCUUCGGACAAUCUCUGACGACUUGACCUCAAAUCGAGUAAGACUACCCGCUGAACUUAAGCAUAUCAAUAAGCGGAGGA